CGCUCUACGCAUAUUAUUUAAAGCAUCUCCUGCUCAGUGACAUUAACAGCCGCAGAAUUUUUACUGUGCUAAGGUAGCAUAAUCACUUGUCUUCUAAUUAAAGAAUAGAAUGAACGGAAACACGAAUUUUAGACUGUUUCAUUUUUACUUAAUAAAACUACAAAAAAGUAAAAACUCUUUUAAAUAAAAAAAAGACGACAAGACCCUAGAACUUAACUUAAGUUAAGCUGGGGCGGCUUUUUAAAAAAAUCUUAAUACAAUUCCUUAUACAUAAAAAUAUAAAAGUUACCUUAGGGAUAACAGCAUAAUUAAAUUCUCCAGCUCUUAUUUAAAAUUUAGAUUAUGACCUCGAUGUUGAAUUAAGCUUCUUUUAAAAGGAAAAAAUUAAAACGAAAGUCUGUUCGACUUUUAAUUACUUACAUGAUUUGAGUUCAGACCGGUGUAAACCAGGUCGGUUUCUAUCUUUUUCAAUAAUUAGCCAGUACGAAAGGACCUCUAAAUAUAUUAAAAAU
This 512-nucleotide ribosomal RNA is filed under the name Dysdera cf. inermis MAA-2007. RNAcentral's name for it is "partial 16S ribosomal RNA". It matches the Rfam family "Bacterial large subunit ribosomal RNA", at positions 1831 to 2690 of the family's 2925-position model. The record is from RNAcentral. Lineage: Eukaryota; Metazoa; Arthropoda; Arachnida; Araneae; Dysderidae.